This is a long non-coding RNA of Aedes aegypti (yellow fever mosquito), 1942 nucleotides long. RefSeq lists it as uncharacterized. The transcript has 2 exons. The record is from RefSeq and is a predicted model, not a curated record. Lineage: Eukaryota; Metazoa; Arthropoda; Insecta; Diptera; Culicidae.
AGUCAGAUUUUAUUGGAUUGCUGCAAAUUUUAUAUUUUCCAGACACUGUAAUAUUUUAAUUUGAGGUAAGUUAAUACUUUCUUUCGACAUUUCAUUUAUUUAUCACACAUUACAUUUUCAGCCAAUAUAGGGUGCAGAGCUACUAGGCACUUCCAUGAUUCAUUUUGGCAUCGGGGUUUAUUCUCGGCCGAAUUGUCUGAAACUCUGCAAAAAGAAGCAAUUCAAUAGAACGCAUAUUGUGCCCAAAUAUGAGCUCAGUAGCUUUCAAAAAACCCACUGCCGAAGUGAAUCAAAAGUGCCAAGAAUAGGAUCCGGCUCCCUAUAUAACGGAGAAAUGGAAAAUAUAUUUAAAGCGGCUGAUAGAAAACUAUCGCACAAGCAGAAGGAUGUGCCAUCCGGGUGAUUCAGCCACAACAACAGCUGAUGAUAUUCGAUGUGAACUAUAGAACCAAGGAACUACCCACGGAUGUAAUUUCUUCAACCGUAACACAAAAUUCUACAACAUCACAAAUAGACAAAUGAAGUGAUUUGAUAAACAUGGUUAAUAAUCACAUAAGAAGCUAAUUUUGUAAUAAACAAGAAAACAUUAAUAAAAAAGGCCUUUUGCAUCAUUGGUUAAGGGCAAUUAAAUUAAAAAAAAUGGUUUAUUGAAUCAACAAUUAUUAUUUUUUGUUUCUAUAUGACUCAUUCAGUUACUUCAAUAAAACGUUUUUAUAGAUCCAACAAACCGAUAUUAUUGUUUCAAAAAAUAUAUUUUUUGUAUUUGACAGUUAGCUGCUUGGAUGCAUUUUUAGAAACAACAAUAUUUAUUGUAGGAAUAAAUGAGCAUAUUUAUUGAAACAAUAAAAAAUACUGGUAAGCCGUGAGUCUACAAUAAAAUUUGUUGAAUCUAUACAGAAUUCUUUUGCAUUUACAAUAUAUUUCUCUGCGUGCAGUCAUUCCUCCGAUCAUUCCCACACACAUUUCUGAUCAGAUUUCAACCGAUAAUUUCCUAGAUAUCCUUGCAUGAUAUUAUCCAGAGACUUGAUUAAUUAUUUGUUUCAAUUAUAUUAGGAAUUUGUUUAGGAAAUGCACUAAGAUUUCUUCAAAAGUCCAGGAUUUCUUACAAAGAAUCUUGUCGGUGUUUAGCAAGAGGUAUUUUAGCACUUAAUCAUGUUUUAUCAGAUGUUACUUUAGAUAUUCCUUCUCAAAUGCCUCCCAGAUUAAGCUAAAGCUAUCAGUACACACUUUGUCAUACAGUAUUGGACAAAACAUUUGCAAUUUUUUCGAUUUUCUAUACAAAAUGGUCAUCUUACACCUUAGAGAAUUGAACCCGCUUUGGUCAACAUCAAUACACAGCAAAAAAAGUUGUUGAAUAUUACAUCUAAACCGCUGCAACCAAAUCAACUGUGCGGUUUUACACAGCACGAUGUACUGCCGAGCUUUUGAUGUGAUGAUUGGAAACGAUGUAAUAUAUCCGACUAUGUAAUCCAAGCGAUAUAGUAGGAAAGCGAUGUAUUCGAAGAUAUUUUAAAUUAUUACAAAUCUGCCUAAUUAUUGAAUGAAUAACUUUUUAUCAUUUUGUGUUUGAAAAUAAUAAUUGCUGACAGAGUUAUUACAAUGUAUAACAUUUAAUCAGAAUUUAGUUCGAAAAAAAGAUAAAAAGCGAUUUAUUAAACCAGUUAAUAGUCUCUAACUUUUAUUUGCAUAACUGCAGGUGUGUAUUGAAAUAUAAAUUAUUAAUUUUAAGUAAUUUAUUUGCACGUAUUACAAUGUAAUCCAUUUGAUGUACAAUAAUCAUAAAAAUUAUAGGCUGUAUACUCAUGCAGAUGGAAUGCCGCUUCAGUCCGCGGGUUGGACCUUGAUGUAGAGAACGCGAUAUGUCCGAUAACAUAUCCGCACCAUUUGUUAAAUAUGAUCUGAAAAAAAUAAGAAAUAAUUAAAAUAAACACAAUUAUUUGUA